GGAGGGGUCGCAUAGUGGUCGAGUGCUAAAGUUUACUAAACUUUCGUAGGGUAACACCUACCAAGGGUUCGAAUCCCUUUCCCUCCGCCU
This 90-nucleotide transfer RNA is filed under the name Candidatus Collierbacteria bacterium CG09_land_8_20_14_0_10_46_12. Its description in RNAcentral is "tRNA-Ser". It matches the Rfam family "tRNA". Rfam says of the family: Transfer RNA (tRNA) molecules are approximately 80 nucleotides in length. Their secondary structure includes four short double-helical elements and three loops (D, anti-codon, and T loops). Lineage: Bacteria; Candidatus Collieribacteriota. The record is from RNAcentral.